Homo sapiens (human) is the source of this 2496-nucleotide long non-coding RNA. Ensembl annotates it as butyrophilin subfamily 2 member A3, pseudogene. Its record names the gene BTN2A3P. NCBI's taxonomy places the organism in Eukaryota, Metazoa, Chordata, Mammalia, Primates, Hominidae. The record is from Ensembl.
ACUUAGGGAAAUCUUGGGACACUGUGGAAGCCCAGAGAAUCUGAUCCCGGGUCCCACAACUUCACAUAUCGCGAGUAAGUGGGAGGCAAAGAAAAUUCUUUUUCUCCUCUUUUGGGACAGUUUGUGACUAGUAGUGCCUGUGCCCCUGGAAAGGUUGGAGACUUGGGGGACGACUGGAGAAUUGCCAUUUGAGGACCAAAGGAGAAAAGAAACUACACGCUAAUUCUAGAAGGCCUCCUGUCCCUGCCUGCUCUGGGUGCUCAUGGAACCAGCUGCUGCCCUGCACUUCUCCCGGCCAGCCUCCCUCCUCCUCCUCCUCAGCCUGUGUGCACUGGUCUCAGCCCAGGUCACUGUCGUGGGGCCCACUGAUCCCAUCCUGGCCAUGGUGGGAGAAAACACUACGUUACGAUGCUGUCUGUCACCCGAGGAAAAUGCUGAGGACAUGGAGGUGCGGUGGUUCCAGUCUCAGUUCUCCCCUGCAGUGUUUGUGUAUAAGGGUGGAAGAGAGAGAACAGAGGAGCAGAAGGAGGAGUACCGAGGGAGAACCACCUUUGUGAGCAAAGACAGCAGGGGCAGCGUGGCCCUGAUCAUACACAAUGUCACAGCCGAGGAUAACGGCAUCUACCAGUGUUACUUCCAAGAAGGCAGGUCCUGCAAUGAGGCCAUCCUGCACCUUGUGGUGGCAGACCAGCACAAUCCUCUUUCCUGGAUCCCCAUUCCGCAGGGACACUCUCCCUAUGAAAAGAAGAUUCCAGGGAAAAAUCCUUCCUCCUGCACAAGGGCCACCAUGAGUGAGUUUGCCCUGCUAAGCCGUGGGCUUGACUUCUUGAGAAGCACAUGCAGAACUCAGUUGAGGCCAUGAGCCGGGGAAAAUGGUGAAUCUCGGAAGAGAAGUCCUAUGCCUGCCUUAGCACUGAGCUGUGCACUUCUGAGAGUGAGAGGAGACACCAUCAAUAAUUGUCUUGGGACAACUGGAAUAAACAGUGACUGCCCAGAGAACUACGAUAUUUGAAAUCUUAUUUCUUGAUGAAUAUUCAUCCUGACUUCUUUCCUGAAAUGCUGUUUGCAAAGAGAGUGACUUAUAUGACUGGACUCUGAGCCCGUCAUUGAAAUGAGAGACCACGAGGACGGGGGCAUCCAGCUGGAGUGCAUAUCUGGAGGGUGGUACCCAAAGCCCCUCACAGUGUGGAGGGACCCCUACGGUGAGGUCGUGCCUGCCCUGAAGGAGGUCUCCACCCCUGACGCAGACAGCCUCUUCAUGGUCACCACAGCUGUGAUCAUCAGAGACAAGUCUGUGAGGAACGUGUCCUGCUCUAUCAAUGACACCCUGCUCGGCCAGAAGAAAGAAAGUGUCAUUUUUAUUCCAGAGCAACUUCUGAAGAAUUGCAUACGUUUAGCCUUUCCUGAACUACUCCAUGUACAAUUUGUGUUCUGCUCAUUUAGCAGCAUCUCAUGACAUUCAACCUCUGUCUGUCCCUUGCAGGAUGGAGAAGAACAUUCUUACAUGCUGGAGCCAGUGGGGUCACGGUGCCUGAAGAGGGCUGGACACUUCACAGAGCAGGGACCCACCACAGCCCACAGAAUCAGUUCCCCAGUCUCACAGCCAUGGAAACAAGCCCUGGCCAUCUCAGCAGCCACUGCACAAUGCCUCUGGUGGAAGACACGCCCUCCUCCCCUCUGGUCACACAAGAGAACAUCUUCCAGCUGCCUCUUUCACACCCACUCCAGACCUCAGCCCCUGUUCACCUCCUCAUUAGGUGUGGCUUUAGUAGUUCCUUUGGUUGUAACUAUGGGAUGGAAUCCAGGCAUAGGGAACUAGUUGUUCCACAGCUCCCAGCCAGGAAGAAAGUGUGAGAAGCUGAUUGGUAGUGAACCUGCUGUUUAACAUCACAGUGACUACAUUGAACCCAGUAUGCCAGUUGGCACCAGAUGCUGUGGACUUGGAAUGAGGCCAAGAGGAGUCGCCAGGAUGUGAGAGGAGAGAGGAAUCCACAGGACCACCAGAGGGUGAGUGAACCAGAUAUGCAGGUCAGAGAUAGACGAAGUGGAACCAGAGAGCUGGGAGGGACCAAGGUUGUAAGGGUGCUUAAGCCCCACCAUAACAGCUAAGGAGUCCCAGGAGAUGAUGGCUCAUUUCCACCCAACCCCAGGAUUUCCACAGCACACACCCACAGGCCUGGACCUGGGACGAAGAUGAAUGAAGAAUAUGGACAUGUGGAUGUGGUUUGGCUCACGUGUCCCUGCAAUAAACAAGGAGUCAGUACUCAGUCCUUGGGUGUGGUUGAGGCUUGAGGUCCUGAUUGAGCAAGGCAGUACUGGACAAGGUCUACAUCAGCAUUCAAGUUCAAUGGGGGGCACUAGUGGCUUCAAACUUCCUGGUCUAAUUAUGUCUUUAGACACUUAAUAACUACUGAGGGCCUUGAGGAGCUCUUGUUUAUUUGGGUUGAUAUUUGUUAAUAUUUAUGGCAUUUGACAUUAAAACAGAAAAUGUUAAAA